Molecule: ribosomal RNA, 468 nt
Filed under: uncultured bacterium
Lineage: Bacteria
Description: partial 16S ribosomal RNA
Rfam family: Bacterial small subunit ribosomal RNA
Source: RNAcentral
GACGAACGCUGGCGGCGUGCUUAACACAUGCAAGUCGAACGGAAAGGCCCUGCUUUUGUGGGGUGCUCGAGUGGCGAACGGGUGAGUAACACGUGAGUAACCUGCCCUGGACUUUGGGAUAACUUCAGGAAACUGGGGCUAAUACCGGAUAGGAGCUCCUGCUGCAUGGUGGGGUUUGGAAAGUUUCGGCGGUUGGGGAUGGACUCGCGGCUUAUCAGCUUGUUGGUGGGGUAGUGGCUUACCAAGGCUUUGACGGGUAGCCGGCCUGAGAGGGUGACCGGCCACAUUGGGACUGAGAUACGGCACAGACUCCUACGGGAGGCAGCAGUGGGGAAUAUUGCACAAUGGGCGGAAGCCUGAUGCAGCAACGCCGCGUGCGGGAUGACGGCCUUCGGGUUGUAAACCGCUUUCGCCUGUGACGAAGCGUGAGUGACGGUAAUGGGUAAAGAAGCACCGGCUAACUACGUG